AUAUCAUACCACCCUGAAUACACCCCAUCUUGUCUGAUUUCAGAAGCUAAGCAGGGUCAGGCUUUGUUAGUACUUGGAUGGGAGAUACAUAUUUUAUAAAUAUA
This 104-nucleotide ribosomal RNA is filed under the name Cebus imitator (Panamanian white-faced capuchin). The record is from RNAcentral. Lineage: Eukaryota; Metazoa; Chordata; Mammalia; Primates; Cebidae.